CCUACGGGAGGCAGCAGUGAGGAAUAUUGGUCAAUGGUCGGGAGACUGAACCAGCCAAGCCGCGUGAGGGAUGAAGGUACAGAGGAUCGUAAACCUCUUUUGUCAGGGAACAAAGGCGGGGACGUGUCCCCGGAUGAGAGUACCUGAAGAAAAAGCAUCGGCUAACUCCGUGCCAGCAGCCGCGGUAAUACGGAGGAUGCGAGCGUUAUCCGGAUUUAUUGGGUUUAAAGGGUGCGCAGGCGGCCGGGCAAGUCAGCGGUAAAAGCCCGGGGCUCAACCCCGGCCCGCCGUUGAAACUGGGAGUCUUGAGUGGGAGAGAAGUAUGCGGAAUGCGCGGUGUAGCGGUGAAAUGCAUAGAUAUCGCGCAGAACUCCGAUUGCGAAGGCAGCAUGCCGGCUCCACACUGACGCUGAGGCACGAAAGCGUGGGUAUCGAACAGGAUUAGAUACCCUUGUAGUC
This 459-nucleotide ribosomal RNA is filed under the name uncultured bacterium. Its description in RNAcentral is "partial 16S ribosomal RNA". It matches the Rfam family "Bacterial small subunit ribosomal RNA", at positions 338 to 795 of the family's 1533-position model. The record is from RNAcentral.